Molecule: ribosomal RNA, 468 nt
Filed under: uncultured bacterium
Lineage: Bacteria
Description: partial 16S ribosomal RNA
Rfam family: Bacterial small subunit ribosomal RNA
Source: RNAcentral
GACGAACGCUGGCGGCGUGCUUAACACAUGCGAGUCGAACGGAAAGGCCCUGCUUUUGUGGGGUGCUCGAGUGGCGAACGGGUGAGUAACACGUGAGUAACCUGCCCUUGACUUUGGGAUAACUUCAGGAAACUGGGGCUAAUACCGGAUAGGAGCUCCUGCUGCAUGGUGGGGGUUGGAAAGUUUCGGCGGUUGGGGAUGGACUCGCGGCUUAUCAGCUUGUUGGUGGGGUAGUGGCUUACCAAGGCUUUGACGGGUAGCCGGCCUGAGGGGGUGACCGGCCACAUUGGGACUGAGAUACGGCCCAGACUCCUACGGGAGGCAGCAGUGGGGAAUAUUGCACAAUGGGCGGAAGCCUGAUGCAGCAACGCCGCGUGCGGGAUGAGGGCCUUCGGGUUGUAAACCGCUUUCGCCUGUGACGAAGCGUGAGUGACGGUAAUGGGUAAAGAAGCACCGGCUAACUACGUG